RNAcentral lists this ribosomal RNA (818 nucleotides) under uncultured Staphylococcus sp. RNAcentral's name for it is "bacterial SSU rRNA". It matches the Rfam family "Bacterial small subunit ribosomal RNA", at positions 71 to 873 of the family's 1533-position model. Lineage: Bacteria; Bacillati; Bacillota; Bacilli; Caryophanales; Staphylococcaceae. The record is from RNAcentral.
ACGAGGAGCUUGCUCCUUUGACGUUAGCGGCGGACGGGUGAGCCAUUUGUAGGUAACCUACCUAUAAGACUGGGAUAACUUCGGGAAACCGGAGCUAAUACCGGAUAAUAUUUCGAACCGCAUGGUUCGAUAGUGAAAGAUGGCUUUGCUAUCACUUAUAGAUGGACCUGCGCCGUAUUAGCUAGUUGGUAAGGUAACGGCUUACCAAGGCAACGAUACGUAGUCGACCUGAGAGGGUGAUCGGCCACACUGGAACUGAGACACGGUCCAGACUCCUACGGGAGGCAGCAGUAGGGAAUCUUCCGCAAUGGGCGAAAGCCUGACGGAGCAACGCCGCGUGAGUGAUGAAGGUCUUCGGAUCGUAAAACUCUGUUAUUAGGGAAGAACAAACGUGUAAGUAACUGUGCACGUCUUGACGGUACCUAAUCAGAAGGCCACGGCUAACUACGUGCCAGCAGCCGCGGUAAUACGUAGGUGGCAAGCGUUAUCCGGAAUUAUUGGGCGUAAAGCGCGCGUAGGCGGUUUUUUAAGUCUGAUGUGAAAGCCCACGGCUCAACCGUGGAGGGUCAUUGGAAACUGGAAAACUUGAGUGCAGAAGAGGAAAGUGGAAUUCCAUGUGUAGCGGUGAAAUGCGCAGAGAUAUGGAGGAACACCAGUGGCGAAGGCGACUUUCUGGUCUGUAACUGACGCUGAUGUGCGGAAGCGUGGGGAUCAAACAGGAUUAGAUACCCUGGUAGUCCACGCCGUANACGAUGAGUGCUAAGUGUUAGGGGGUUUCCGCCCCUUAGUGCUGCAGCUAACGCAUUAAGCACUCCGCC